This 520-nucleotide ribosomal RNA is filed under the name uncultured bacterium. Its description in RNAcentral is "bacterial SSU rRNA". It matches the Rfam family "Bacterial small subunit ribosomal RNA", at positions 18 to 545 of the family's 1533-position model. The record is from RNAcentral.
CCUGGCUCAGGAUGAACGCUGGCGGCGUGCUUAACACAUGCAAGUCGAACGAAGCAGAUGAGAAAGCUUGCUUUUUUAUUUCGCUUAGUGGCGGACGGGUGAGUAACGCGUGAGUAACCUGCCCUUCAGUGGGGAAUAACAUCGAGAAAUCGGUGCUAAUACCGCAUAACGUAUUUAUGUCGCAUGACAUUUAUACCAAAGGAUUUAUUCGCUGAAGGAUGGACUCGCGUCCGAUUAGAUAGUUGGUGAGAUAAUGGCCCACCAAGUCAACGAUCGGUAGCCGAACUGAGAGGUUGAUCGGCCACAUUGGGACUGAGACACGGCCCAGACUCCUACGGGAGGCAGCAGUGGGGAAUAUUGGGCAAUGGGCGAAAGCCUGACCCAGCAACGCCGCGUGAAGGAUGAAGGUCUUCGGAUUGUAAACUUCUUUGAUUAGGGAAGAAUUUUGACUACCUAAAGAACAAGUCACGGCUAACUACGUGCCAGCAGCCGCGGUAAUACGUAGGUGACAAGCGUUACG